UUGGAGGUGCAGCAGUAUCUUGGAAAUCCUCAAAACAAACGUGUAUUGCUAGGUCUACAAUGGAAUCAGAAUUCAUUGCGUUAGACAAAGUUGGAGAAGAAGCUGAAUGGCGUCGUAAUUUUUUAGAGGAUAUUCCAAAUUGGUCAAGACCUGUGCCAGCUAUAUGUAUACACUGUGAUAGCCAAUCAGCGAUUGGAAGAGCACAGAGUCAUUUAUAUAACGGUAAGUCACGUCAUAUACGAUGAAGACAUAAUACCGUUAGACAAUUGCUCUCAAAUAGAAUUAUCUCAAUUGACUAUGUAAAGUCAAAAGAUAAUAUUGCAGAUCCGCUUACGAAAGGUUUAACAAGAGAGCAAGUGGAAAAAUCAUCGAGGGGAAUGGGUUUAAAGCCUACUGUUUAAAUAAGAGUCGUCAUAGUGGCAACCCAACUUAGCUGACUGGAGAUCCCAAGAUCUAGGUUCAAUGGGCAAACCGAACUAUGUAUUACUCAUUAAAGCACUGAGGAGAUAUUUACUCUUAACCAUUCCUAAGAUGAGACAGUGUACAUCUGCCGCGAGAAUCAGGAUAAGAUACGCUUUUAAUGAUUUCUAUAUCUUGAAAUAUGUUCAAGUGGGGUAUUGCAGGAUACUCUUGAUAGAAGUCACCUACGUGAGUAAGAAGGGGGCCACUUCUGUGAGAAUUUUGAAGGCUGAAUUCUCUAAUAUACUUACGGAACCAAGAGGUGUUUCAAGGCCAAAAUGAACACAAACGUGAGAACCAACUAUGUCUGAAGAGAUAUUUUGUGAAUUCUAUUAUCUUGGUUUACACAAAAAACUGACAAUUCAAAGACAUCAAGUCUACUGAUUAGCCGAGUAAAUCCGAUAGAUUUUACUAGGGCAAGUUCAAAGCCACUAGGCUACUUAACCUGAUGAAAUAUCUUUUCUCAUGUACUCGAACUAGUGUCUGCAUAUUCAUAUCAUAUUUUGUAUAUUGUAAAGCCAAUUUUACAUUCAUGUAGGGGAUUGUUGGAAAUGGGUUUGAUAAAAUAUAUAUUUAUGUGUUCAAAUCCAUUAAGAAUUGAAUGAGAAAAUUGAUGGGCCGGGCCGGAUCGGAUUCGGGUCGGGUCAUGAUAUAUAUAUCUUUUUGGACAAAAUUUGUUUAAUUAAUUAUCAUAUUUUUUUUUAUUAAGUUAUAUAUCAAUACAAUGACGUAACGGUAAUAAACUGCCAAUUUUUUCUAUAAAAAGGACUUGGGCGCGUAUUAUCACAUAUACAAUUUAAUUGCAGUGUUCUAUGAUAUCAAUUCAAUUGCAGUGUUCUGUGAUAUCAUGAUAUCAUUUCCCUCCCAUUAUAUAUUGCUAAGUUCCGUUGUUGUAUUCUUCCGUUGCAGCAUAUUUCUUCCCGACUUCCUGUUGCACUCUGCAAGUUGAGUAAAUAAGGUUUAUUUUAAUCUUUUUUCAAUUUAUUUCAUGCAUGCAUCAUUAGUCAGUUCGGUACAUAACAUAUCGUUUGGUUCGAUGAAUUCUUAAUUUUGUAAUGCUACUAAUUAAGAAUUGAAAUCCAUUUUAUCUUGGGAAGCAAUUAUUCAAUUAACCCUUAGCAUCUGUGGGGGAAUAAAUUUGCUUUAAGGAGACUUUGUGAAUUCAAAGGACUCGGAUUUAUAUUUUUUAUUUUACACAUUAUUUCUGUUUUGCAUAAUUUAUUAUUAUUAUAUUCAUAUGCAUUAUUAAAUAAUAAUAUGUAUUACAGAUAACAUUUCUUACCACCAACAAACACUGAGGGAAAUUUGAGAGGACGGAUCAAGUGAUGGAAUAAGAGAAGCCCCUUGUAGAGGAAUCAGGAUCAUCACUCACGUGACCACCUGAAGAGCAGGAGGCAGCCUCACAGACUAGGAGAUAAGAAGUCACCAAAGUGAACAGAGGACUCUGCCGCAGAGUAUUUUCUGAAAAUAGCCUUAAAAAACUCAAAUUUCCAUCACUAAUUUCUUUUUUCUUUAGCAAUUGAUCUCAUGAAACACAUUACAUCCAUAAUUACCGAGUCUUUAUUCAAUUAUACUACUCACCCUUCCAACUAAAUUCAGUUUGCUCACCUGCUCUGUGGAUCUAUGGCUACAGAGGUACUUGGUUAUUUCCUUUGUUCCUAAACUCGUUACAGAGAGGGAGCUGAUAUAAAUAAUCCCCUAUUUCCAUGGCGGCUGAUGAUGUUUGCAGUUAAAUGGGCAAGGCUCCCAUCCACCAUCCGUUUCUUUGCGUUUUCCUUCAACGCCAAAACUAGAAGUCGGUUGUGAGUUACCCCUCAUAUGUUCAUCUAUUGAUCUGCCUUGACUAGAGUUAAAUAGCUGCCUCAAACCCCCAGUAUCCCUGUUUCCCCGUCCAGAUUGAGAAAAGGCAGGCGGAAGAGCUGAUGAUGCAGAGACCAAAAUUUGAGAGAAUUUGUGUCAUAGAUCUGAGACUUCUA
This 2435-nucleotide long non-coding RNA is filed under the name Panax ginseng (ginseng). RNAcentral's name for it is "long non-coding RNA (PGIN_LNC002933)". The record is from RNAcentral. Lineage: Eukaryota; Viridiplantae; Streptophyta; Magnoliopsida; Apiales; Araliaceae.